This 520-nucleotide unclassified non-coding RNA is filed under the name uncultured Glomus. Its description in RNAcentral is "SSU rRNA". It matches the Rfam family "Eukaryotic small subunit ribosomal RNA", at positions 569 to 1091 of the family's 1831-position model. Lineage: Eukaryota; Fungi; Glomeromycota; Glomeromycetes; Glomerales; Glomeraceae. The record is from RNAcentral.
AGCAGCCGCGGUAAUUCCAGCUCCAAUAGCGUAUAUUAAAGUUGUUGCAGUUAAAAAGCUCGUAGUUGAAUUUCGGGAUCAGUUGGUCGGCCGCGCCUCGGUACGUACUGGUCAAAUUGAUUCCUACCUUCUGACGAACCACGAUGUCAUUAAUUUGGUGUCGCGGGAAAUCAGGACUGUUACUUUGAAAAAAUUAGAGUGUUUAAAGCAGGCUCGCGCUUGAAUACAUUAGCAUGGAAUAAUGAAAUAGGACGUUUGAUUCUAUUUUGUUGGUUUCUAGGAUCGACGUAAUGAUUAAUAGGGAUAGUUGGGGGCAUUAGUAUUCAAUUGUCAGAGGUGAAAUUCUUGGAUUUAUUGAAGACUAACUACUGCGAAAGCAUUUGCCAAGGAUGUUUUCAUUAAUCAAGAACGAAAGUUAGGGGAUCGAAGACGAUCAGAUACCGUCGUAGUCUUAACCAUAAACUAUGCCGACUAGGGAUCGGAUGAUGUUAAUUUUUUAAUGACUCAUUCGGCGCCUUAC